ACCAUCACCACACAUAUUUUUGCAACUCUUUUGAAAAAAUAUGUCAAACUCUUCCCUUGGUUUUUAUCAAGUGUAAGGAACUUAGGAGCUCCCUUGGUCCAAAACGAGGAGGACAAGAUUUAAGGAACAUAAAAAGCAGAAUCUUUUAAGUGUUCAUGGAUUCCUCAUUGAGAGUUGAUAUGUUUUACUUGCAGGCGACAUUAAUGGCUUCUUUUUUUUGGUUUGAUUGUAGUUGUUACAUUAAAUCGAAACUGUUUAAGACUUUAAGUGAUCAUAUCUACGAGUAUAUACAAUAGUGAAGUACAGGUUUGUCAAUGUGUAAGACUACCAAGAGGCAAGAGCAAGAGGUGUGUAUGUAUGCGGGAGAUUAGUCCAAUACUGUCUAUAAAAUUCAAUCACCCGGUCAAAACCUAAUUAACAAAAUAACACAAGAUGAAACUCCAAAUUAGACUUUUGAUUCCAAAGUUUCAUUCCAACUACUAAUAUAUUGUAAUGACAUGAAGACAUUGCCGUUUGUUGAACGAGUUGUCUUCUUACUAAAUUUGAUAUUUUCCAA
This is a long non-coding RNA of Capsella rubella, 556 nucleotides long. RefSeq lists it as uncharacterized. The record is from RefSeq and is a predicted model, not a curated record. The transcript is spliced from 2 exons. NCBI's taxonomy places the organism in Eukaryota, Viridiplantae, Streptophyta, Magnoliopsida, Brassicales, Brassicaceae.